UGCGGAAAGAAAAGGCAUGUCGAUAUUUGCAAAAAUGGUGCUUUCGUCUGACCAAUUCCAAACGCGAACAGUUUGCGUGAUCCAAUCUAAUAACUUCAAGAGCAUCAAACGGCAACACAGAUGGAGAUCCAUACAGUAUGAAGAUGAAUACAGAUGAAGAUCCAUUCUUUUUGCUUUUAAAACAACGAAACAACUCAAGAAGACAUAAGGAAAAAGGUCGCUCAUCUCGCACCUAAAAAAAAAACGGUGGGCAUGUGAAGUAUCCCGUUUCAAGGAGUGUUAGGAGAUGUACGUUAUGAAUGGACCAAGCAAGUACAGGUAACUAAACGUCCAGUUGUAGAAGCCGAACGCAAUAGGGUUGGUGGGAUGG
Molecule: long non-coding RNA, 370 nt
Organism: Anopheles merus
Lineage: Eukaryota; Metazoa; Arthropoda; Insecta; Diptera; Culicidae
Exons: 3
Source: RefSeq, a predicted model, not a curated record